Molecule: long non-coding RNA, 207 nt
Filed under: Nicotiana benthamiana
Lineage: Eukaryota; Viridiplantae; Streptophyta; Magnoliopsida; Solanales; Solanaceae
Description: long non-coding RNA (NBEN_LNC040032)
Source: RNAcentral
CUGAAUCACCGACCCAAGAUAUCUGACACUGUCCCUCUUGGCGAUGACCUGAGAUCCAAUCAUCACGUCCCUGCCUACUUCGCUCGGCUCGGCACUGAACUUGCACUCCAGGUAUUCUGUCUUAGAUCUGCUUAUUUUGAAACCCUUAGACUCGAGAGUUUGUCUCCGUACCUCUAACCUCUCAAUAACACCGACCCUCGUCUCGUC